CGCCUCCUCAGAGCGGAGAAAACCUCAAAGUAAAUGUCCGCUUUCUGAUUUAUUUCCAUUUCCCUCCGAGGGAAGUCGGGGCGUUUGUAAAGCGACUCCCGCGGCCGGAGUCUGAUGUAUCGCUGAGAGAGGGCGGUGAAGACUCAGUGAUCGUCCGCACGUAAAACAGAGGACGGCAGAUAUGUGGAGACCGAAGGGAUCGAGAAAAUGAGGAUCGGGCAGAAACACGUGGCUGAGAUGGUUCUCUGCAGUUCCUUGCGGUCAUGGGCAGAGCAGUAGCCAUACAAAGGCGUGAAGUAUCGACAAGGAGCUCAGAGACCUCGGCCUUCACCCUGCCUUGUGUAGCUGGAUCCUGGACUUCCUGUCAGAUCGCCGGCAGGUGGUAAGAGUGGGCUCCAUCUCCUCUGUCUCUCUGACCCUCAGCACACAUACCCCACAGAGUUGUCUCUUUGGCGCCCUCCUUUACUCUCUGUGCACCCAUGACUUGUGUUGCCACCCACAGCUCCAAUCUGCUAUUUAAAUUUGCUGACAACACUACAUUGAUUGUCCUAAUCUGAAAUACCGAUAACAAUCAAUCAAAUGCCUUCUGACAAGGCUCGGUCCAAACAAACUUUUCACCCUUCUUCAGGAGAUUGGUCAGAGGAAGAGCGAUAGCAGCAGAGUUCUUACGAUAAUAUCCAUCCAUUCCCAGAAACCUUCUAAGAGCCUUCUUAGCAGUCAGAAUAGGAACUUGAGAAAUUGCCUGGACUUUUGCCCGAACAGGAGCCAACUUCCUUUGACCUACAACAUAGCCAAGACAGGUCACACUGGCAUGGCCAAAUUCACUCUUAGCCAAGUUAACUGUAAGGUUGUCCUAGGAAAGCCUGUCAAAUAGCUUUUCUACUGCAGAGAUAUGCUCUUCCCAAGUGCCACUCCCUGUAACUACGUCAUCAAUAUAGGUAUCUGUGUGUUCUCACCCUCGAAUUACAAAAUCAAUCAUUCUCUGGGAUGCUCCUGGAGCAUUUUUCCUUCCAAAAGGCAAAACAUUGUAUUCAUACAACCCAGAUGCUGUCACAAACACAGAAAUGUCUCUACCUCUGUCCGUCAAUGGAACACACCAAUACCCUUUCAACAGAUCAAUCUUUGUAAGAUAUUAGCCAUUCCAACCUUAUCGAUGCAAUCAUCCACCCUAGGGAUAGGAUAGGCAUCAGUUUUUGUUACUGCAUUUACCUUUCUACAAUCAGUGCAAAAUCUAACACUACCAUCAUGUUUGGGCACAAUAAUGCAGAGUGACUCCAAUCUCAUUUUGAAGGCCUAAUAAUACCAUUCUCCAGCAUAUACUCAAUUCCCUGGUCAGCCAAUUUACACUUUUCGACGUUCAUGCGAAGUGGGUGUUGUUUAAUCGGUUUGGCUUGACCAACAUCUACAUCAUGUACUGCGACCGUGGUUUGCUUGGGAACAUCGGGAAAUAAAUCUUUGUACUUCAGAAUUAAUUCCUUCAGCUGUUGUUGUUGCUUUGGCUGCAGAUGAGCCAACUCGUUAUCAAUGUUUUCUAGAGCAACCGAGUUCAUUAGCCUAACUGGGACCAUGUUUGGCUUGUGAAAAGUCUCAGACGAGUCAAUUGUUUCAUUCUCAGGGUUACCAGAUUCAUUUGUUUUGACAACAAUACUCACAGAUGGUGCCUGCUUGUCAAAAAAGGCUUUAUCAUAUUUAUGUGCACCACCUCUGUUAGUUUACGUCAUUCGGGUGUUUUAAUAACAGAAUUCACAUUAUUAAUUUGAGAGACUAUCUCAUACGGUCUAUUGAAUUUCGCCUGAAGUGGAUUCGUCAACAUAAGGCAAGCACCUUAUCUCCCACCUGGUAUUUCUUUCGCGAGCCCUGUUAUCAAACCAACACUUCAUUUUGUUUUGAGAAAUCUUUAAGUUUUGUCUCGCUAGACUACAGGCUUGGUGUAGUUUAUUUUUGAACUUCAAAACAUAGUCUAACGAGUUAACAUGUACAUCCCCAUCAAUCCACGGUUCCUUUUAACAAGGUCAAAGGUCACUCUGCGACCAAAUACAAGUUCAAAUGGAGUAAAGCCCAGUGAUUCCUGUACUGACUCUCUUUCUGUGGACAAAAUCAAAUGUAUUCCUUCAUCUGGACAAAAGCAAAAGUAUCCCUUCAUCCCAGUCUUUUCCAUUUUCAACACAAUAUGUCUUAAUCAUUGUUUUGAGGGUAGAAUGAAAUCUUUCUAAAGCCCCUUCUGGUUC
Long non-coding RNA from Hypanus sabinus (Atlantic stingray), 2228 nucleotides. RefSeq lists it as uncharacterized. NCBI's taxonomy places the organism in Eukaryota, Metazoa, Chordata, Chondrichthyes, Myliobatiformes, Dasyatidae. The record is from RefSeq and is a predicted model, not a curated record. The transcript is spliced from 3 exons.